RNAcentral lists this ribosomal RNA (466 nucleotides) under uncultured bacterium. RNAcentral describes it as "partial 16S ribosomal RNA". It matches the Rfam family "Bacterial small subunit ribosomal RNA", at positions 339 to 795 of the family's 1533-position model. The record is from RNAcentral.
CUACGGGGUGCUCCAGUGGGGAAUAUUGGACAAUGGGGGAAACCCUGAUCCAGCAAUGCCGCGUGUGUGAAGAAGGCCUGCGGGUUGUAAAGCACUUUCGGUUGGGAGGACUGCUUCUAGCACUAAUAUUGUUGGAAGUUGACGUUACCUUCAGAAGAAGCACCGGCUAACUCCGUGCCAGCAGCCGCGGGUAAUACGGAGGGUGCAAGCGUUAAUCGGAAUUACUGGGCGUAAAGCGCGCGUAGGCGGCUAGAUCAGUCGGGUGUGAAAGCCCCGGGCUUAACCCGGGAACUGCAUCCGAUACUGUCUAGCUUGAGUACAGGAGAGGAGAGUGGAAUUCCACAUGUAGCGGUGAAAUGCGUAGAUAUGUGGAGGAACACCAAUGGCGAAGGCAGCCCUCUGGCCUGAUACUGACGCUGAGGUGCGAAAGCGUGGGGAGCAAACAGGAUUAGAUACCCCCGUAGUC